CCAAUUCCAAAUUUAGGAAGUCCACACACUCCCAAUGGUUAGUAAAAAAAGGGAAUUUAUUGGCUUUAAAGUAUAAAAAUAAAACAAUAAAAUGCUAUUUCUGGUCCUACGCGUUUCGUCUCCCUUAGGAAACUUCCUCAGGGACCAAAUAUUAAAUUGCUACAGUUAAAACAUGCAAUCACAUACACUGCCAAAAAAUAAACAAGUGUACAAAUGAGCCU
Pelobates cultripes (western spadefoot toad) is the source of this 221-nucleotide non-coding RNA. The record is from the annotation of a GenBank genome assembly. NCBI's taxonomy places the organism in Eukaryota, Metazoa, Chordata, Amphibia, Anura, Pelobatidae.